RNAcentral lists this ribosomal RNA (465 nucleotides) under Vreelandella stevensii. Its description in RNAcentral is "partial 16S ribosomal RNA". It matches the Rfam family "Bacterial small subunit ribosomal RNA", at positions 338 to 795 of the family's 1533-position model. The record is from RNAcentral. Lineage: Bacteria; Pseudomonadati; Pseudomonadota; Gammaproteobacteria; Oceanospirillales; Halomonadaceae.
CCUACGGGUGGCAGCAGUGGGGAAUAUUGGACAAUGGGCGAAAGCCUGAUCCAGCCAUGCCGCGUGUGUGAAGAAGGCCUUCGGGUUGUAAAGCACUUUCAGUGGGGAAGAAAGCCUUGGGGCUAAUACCCUCGAGGAAGGACAUCACCCACAGAAGAAGCACCGGCUAACUCCGUGCCAGCAGCCGCGGUAAUACGGAGGGUGCGAGCGUUAAUCGGAUUUACUGGGCGUAAAGCGCGCGUAGGCGGUCUGAUAAGCCGGUUGUGAAAGCCCCGGGCUCAACCUGGGAACGGCAUCCGGAACUGUCAGGCUAGAGUGCAGGAGAGGAAGGUAGAAUUCCCGGUGUAGCAGUGAAAUGCGUAGAGAUCGGGAGGAAUACCAGUGGCGAAGGCGGCCUUCUGGACUGACACUGACGCUGAGGUGCGAAAGCGUGGGUAGCAAACAGGAUUAGAUACCCUGGUAGUC